This 2186-nucleotide ribosomal RNA is filed under the name Pseudomonas aeruginosa. RNAcentral's name for it is "partial 23S ribosomal RNA". It matches the Rfam family "Bacterial large subunit ribosomal RNA", at positions 1 to 2225 of the family's 2925-position model. The record is from RNAcentral. Lineage: Bacteria; Pseudomonadati; Pseudomonadota; Gammaproteobacteria; Pseudomonadales; Pseudomonadaceae.
GGUCAAGUGAAGAAGCGCAUACGGUGGAUGCCUUGGCAGUCAGAGGCGAUGAAAGACGUGGUAGCCUGCGAAAAGCUUCGGGGAGUCGGCAAACAGACUUUGAUCCGGAGAUCUCUGAAUGGGGGAACCCACCUAGGAUAACCUAGGUAUCUUGUACUGAAUCCAUAGGUGCAAGAGGCGAACCAGGGGAACUGAAACAUCUAAGUACCCUGAGGAAAAGAAAUCAACCGAGAUUCCCUUAGUAGUGGCGAGCGAACGGGGAUUAGCCCUUAAGCUUCAUUGAUUUUAGCGGAACGCUCUGGAAAGUGCGGCCAUAGUGGGUGAUAGCCCCGUACGCGAAAGGAUCUUUGAAGUGAAAUCGAGUAGGACGGAGCACGAGAAACUUUGUCUGAACAUGGGGGGACCAUCCUCCAAGGCUAAAUACUACUGACUGACCGAUAGUGAACCAGUACCGUGAGGGAAAGGCGAAAAGAACCCCGGAGAGGGGAGUGAAAUAGAACCUGAAACCGUAUGCGUACAAGCAGUGGGAGCCUACUUGUUAGGUGACUGCGUACCUUUUGUAUAAUGGGUCAGCGACUUAUAUUCAGUGGCAAGCUUAACCGUAUAGGGUAGGCGUAGCGAAAGCGAGUCUUAAUAGGGCGUUUAGUCGCUGGGUAUAGACCCGAAACCGGGCGAUCUAUCCAUGAGCAGGUUGAAGGUUAGGUAACACUGACUGGAGGACCGAACCCACUCCCGUUGAAAAGGUAGGGGAUGACUUGUGGAUCGGAGUGAAAGGCUAAUCAAGCUCGGAGAUAGCUGGUUCUCCUCGAAAGCUAUUUAGGUAGCGCCUCAUGUAUCACUCUGGGGGGUAGAGCACUGUUUCGGCUAGGGGGUCAUCCCGACUUACCAAACCGAUGCAAACUCCGAAUACCCAGAAGUGCCGAGCAUGGGAGACACACGGCGGGUGCUAACGUCCGUCGUGAAAAGGGAAACAACCCAGACCGCCAGCUAAGGUCCCAAAGUUGUGGUUAAGUGGUAAACGAUGUGGGAAGGCUUAGACAGCUAGGAGGUUGGCUUAGAAGCAGCCAUCCUUUAAAGAAAGCGUAAUAGCUCACUAGUCGAGUCGGCCUGCGCGGAAGAUGUAACGGGGCUCAAACCACACACCGAAGCUGCGGGUGUCACGUAAGUGACGCGGUAGAGGAGCGUUCUGUAAGCCUGUGAAGGUGAGUUGAGAAGCUUGCUGGAGGUAUCAGAAGUGCGAAUGCUGACAUGAGUAACGACAAUGGGUGUGAAAAACACCCACGCCGAAAGACCAAGGGUUCCUGCGCAACGUUAAUCGACGCAGGGUUAGUCGGUUCCUAAGGCGAGGCUGAAAAGCGUAGUCGAUGGGAAACAGGUUAAUAUUCCUGUACUUCUGGUUACUGCGAUGGAGGGACGGAGAAGGCUAGGCCAGCUUGGCGUUGGUUGUCCAAGUUUAAGGUGGUAGGCUGAAAUCUUAGGUAAAUCCGGGGUUUCAAGGCCGAGAGCUGAUGACGAGUCGUCUUUUAGAUGACGAAGUGGUUGAUGCCAUGCUUCCAAGAAAAGCUUCUAAGCUUCAGGUAACCAGGAACCGUACCCCAAACCGACACAGGUGGUCGGGUAGAGAAUACCAAGGCGCUUGAGAGAACUCGGGUGAAGGAACUAGGCAAAAUGGCACCGUAACUUCGGGAGAAGGUGCGCCGGCUAGGGUGAAGGAUUUACUCCGUAAGCUCUGGCUGGUCGAAGAUACCAGGCCGCUGCGACUGUUUAUUAAAAACACAGCACUCUGCAAACACGAAAGUGGACGUAUAGGGUGUGACGCCUGCCCGGUGCCGGAAGGUUAAUUGAUGGGGUUAGCGCAAGCGAAGCUCUUGAUCGAAGCCCCGGUAAACGGCGGCCGUAACUAUAACGGUCCUAAGGUAGCGAAAUUCCUUGUCGGGUAAGUUCCGACCUGCACGAAUGGCGUAACGAUGGCGGCGCUGUCUCCACCCGAGACUCAGUGAAAUUGAAAUCGCUGUGAAGAUGCAGUGUAUCCGCGGCUAGACGGAAAGACCCCGUGAACCUUUACUGUAGCUUUGCACUGGACUUUGAGCCUGCUUGUGUAGGAUAGGUGGGAGGCUUUGAAGCGUGGACGCCAGUUCGCGUGGAGCCAUCCUUGAAAUACCACCCUGGCAUGCUUGAGGUUCUAA